AGACCCGAAACCCGGUGAUCUAGCCAUGGGCAGGUUGAAGGUUGGGUAACACUAACUGGAGGACCGAACCGACUAAUGUUGAAAAAUUAGCGGAUGACCUGUGGCUGGGGGUGAAAGGCCAAUCAAACCGGGAGAUAGCUGGUUCUCCCCGAAAGCUAUUUAGGUAGCGCCUCGUGAAUUCAUCUCCGGGGGUAGAGCACUGUUUCGGCUAGGGGGCCAUCCCGGCUUACCAACCCGAUGCAAACUGCGAAUACCGGAGAAUGUUAUCACGGGAGACACACGGCGGGUGCUAACGUCCGUCGUGAAGAGGGAAACAACCCAGACCGCCAGCUAAGGUCCCAAAGUCAUGGUUAAGUGGGAAACGAUGUGGGAAGGCCCAGACAGCCAGGAUGUUGGCUUAGAAGCAGCCAUCAUUUAAAGAAAGCGUAAUAGCUCACUGGUCGAGUCGGCCUGCGCGGAAGAUGUAACGGGGCUAAACCAUGCACCGAAGCUGCGGCAGCGACACUCAGGUGUUGUUGGGUAGGGGAGCGUUCUGUAAGCCUGUGAAGGUGUGUCGUGAGGCAUGCUGGAGGUAUCAGAAGUGCGAAUGCUGACAUAAGUAACGAUAAAGCGGGUGAAAAGCCCGCUCGCCGGAAGACCAAGGGUUCCUGUCCAACGUUAAUCGGGGCAGGGUGAGUCGACCCCUAAGGCGAGGCCGAAAGGCGUAGUCGAUGGGAAACGGGUUAAUAUUCCCGUACUUGGUGUUACUGCGAAGGGGGGACGGAGAAGGCUAUGUUGGCCGGGCGACGGUUGUCCCGGUUUAAGCGUGUAGGUGUGUGUUCCAGGUAAAUCCGGUUCACUUUAACACUGAGGCGUGAUGACGAGGCACUACGGUGCUGAAGCAACAAAUGCCCUGCUUCCAGGAAAAGCCUCUAAGCAUCAGGUAACAUCAAAUCGUACCCCAAACCGACACAGGUGGUCAGGUAGAGAAUACCAAGGCGCUUGAGAGAACUCGGGUGAAGGAACUAGGCAAAAUGGUGCCGUAACUUCGGGAGAAGGCACGCUGACAUGUAGGUGAAGUGAUUUACUCAUGGAGCUGAAGUCAGUCGAAGAUACCAGCUGGCUGCAACUGUUUAUUAAAAACACAGCACUGUGCAAACACGAAAGUGGACGUAUACGGUGUGACGCCUGCCCGGUGCCGGAAGGUUAAUUGAUGGGGUCAGCGCAAGCGAAGCUCCUGAUCGAAGCCCCGGUAAACGGCGGCCGUAACUAUAACGGUCCUAAGGUAGCGAAAUUCCUUGUCGGGUAAGUUCCGACCUGCACGAAUGGCGUAAUGAUGGCCAGGCUGUCUCCACCCGAGACUCAGUGAAAUUGAACUCGCUGUGAAGAUGCAGUGUACCCGCGGCAAGACGGAAAGACCCCGUGAACCUUUACUAUAGCUUGACACUGAACAUUGAGCCUUGAUGUGUAGGAUAGGUGGGAGGCUUUGAAGCGUGGACGCCAGUCUGCGUGGAGCCGACCUUGAAAUACCACCCUUUAAUGUUUGAUGUUCUAACGUGGAUCCGU
This 1545-nucleotide ribosomal RNA is filed under the name Salmonella enterica subsp. enterica serovar Infantis. RNAcentral's name for it is "partial 23S ribosomal RNA". It matches the Rfam family "Bacterial large subunit ribosomal RNA", at positions 711 to 2236 of the family's 2925-position model. The record is from RNAcentral. Lineage: Bacteria; Pseudomonadati; Pseudomonadota; Gammaproteobacteria; Enterobacterales; Enterobacteriaceae.